CCUACGGGAGGCAGCAGUGAGGGAUAUUGGUCAAUGGGCGGGAGCCUGAACCAGCCAAGUCGCGUGAAGGAAGAAGGUACUUAGUAUUGUAAACUUCUUUUGUCGGGGAACAAAGGCGGAGACGCGUCUCCGGAUGAGUGUACCCGAAGAAAAAGCAUCGGCUAACUCCGUGCCAGCAGCCGCGGUAAUACGGAGGAUGCGAGCGUUAUCCGGAUUUAUUGGGUUUAAAGGGUGCGCAGGCGUGGUGUCAAGUCAGCGGUAAAAUGUCGGGGCUCAACCCCGGCCUGCCGUUGAAACUGGUUGUCUAGAGUUGGAGAGAAGUAUGCGGAAUUCGUGGUGUAGCGGUGAAAUGCAUAGAGAUCACGAAGAACUCCGAUUGCGAAGGCAGCAUACCGGCUCCAUACUGACGCUGAGGCACGAAAGCGUGGGGAUCGAACAGGAUUAGAUACCCGUGUAGUC
RNAcentral lists this ribosomal RNA (459 nucleotides) under uncultured bacterium. RNAcentral describes it as "partial 16S ribosomal RNA". It matches the Rfam family "Bacterial small subunit ribosomal RNA", at positions 338 to 795 of the family's 1533-position model. The record is from RNAcentral.